Hemicordylus capensis (graceful crag lizard) is the source of this 1957-nucleotide long non-coding RNA. RefSeq lists it as uncharacterized. NCBI's taxonomy places the organism in Eukaryota, Metazoa, Chordata, Lepidosauria, Squamata, Cordylidae. The transcript is spliced from 3 exons. The record is from RefSeq and is a predicted model, not a curated record.
UUCAACCGUGACGUGGAGGGACCUUCUCUCUCUCUCUCUCUCUCUCUCUCUCUCUCUCUCUCACACACACACACACAAUUUAUUUUCUUCUAGAUAUUUUAUUAGCUAAUCUUUGUUUCUAUUCAUGUCUAAGAAAAACAGUUGAAUUCAACUGAGCAACUCAACUGUUCACUAACUUAAAAUUUUUGCUACACAGGUUAACAGACUCUUACAUAGUAUGUUUAUUUAAAAGAAAUCCCACUGAUUAACAAGCUGUCUAAACAUAUACCAAGCCCCACUUUCUUUCCCUAACAUGGGGAGACGUUUUAUCUAAUUUUUUAGAAGUAAAUGUGUUUGCUUUUAUAUCUUUCUGCAGCAAAUUUCCUCAGGGGAUCUACAGUUCCUGUCUCCAGGAUUCAUGUCACUGCUUAGAGAAAAUAUCACUACGAAUCACAAGGUAUGUUUUAUAUUAAGCUCAGUCUGUAUGUUAUAUUACUUCAGUCCUUAUAUCACCAUAUUACAAUCCACUCUGUUUUCAGUUAAUAUUCUAUGUAUUAGAAGCAACAGCUACCUAAAGUGGCCUGGGAUCAUGUGACAGUGGGGUAUGAAGACAAGAGCCUCAGGUUCAAACCUUUCCUCAGCCAUGGGACUCACUGUGUGACCUUGGACAAGGCACCACUGUGAAGAUAAAUGAGAUAAGAACUGUAGAGCACAUUUUGUACAUUUUGAAAAGUGUUUUAGAAAUGCUAAUUUUUCAAAGGUCAUCCUUGUUAAAUUAGACCUUGUCAACUUGCGAUAACAAAGUUGUUUACUGUAUUUGUUGUUCUCCUAGAGUAUCCCACACAAAGUGACAGGACAUCCCUUUGCUUCAAUAGAAGAGAGAAAUUAACACCAUUCCCUCGUUUGCUUCCUCUUUCUUGAGUGGCAGGAGUUUUCACCUCCCUUUCUGGAAUAAGAAUUCCACCUUCUUGUGCAUAGUUCAACUACUUGUUAGAUCAGCAAACACAUUCCCAACCUUAUAUUUGUCAAGUUGCGCAGGUACAUCCAAAUCCCUGCUUAUAACUGAUGGAAAGGAAUGAAAAUAGAACAAGAUUCAACAGGGGAAGAAAUACAAACAUACAUUAAAAUCAAACAACCAAGAGGAUAUGGAAAAUGAAAUGAAAACAGAAAAGGAUUUUUAACAUGAGGGGAACACCUGAUGUACAAAUUGACUGAAACACCAGGCAUGUGUGGAGGUGCACAUUCUGCCAUUUGUGGUCUCUCUUGAAAAGGAUUUCCCUGAUUUUUAACAUAACCAGCAAACAAAUAAGCCCCAUCUCACAGCAGGAGAGAGCCACUGCUCCAUUAGAUCAUUAAGGACUCCUAUUCAGGCAAUCCCUGUCCUUGGCCCAGUCAUAGAGAACGAAGGCAAAUGUGUUUUCGUACAGUACAGCUUGAAAUGUCACAGCAGGAUGAAAGUUGUGGAACAGACAGCAGAAAGGAAAAGAUGUGGUGCUACAUGAGGGGUAGUGUUCCAACAAUGAAAGGCUGGUGUUUCAGUCUGCCAAACAACGUAAUGACUCAUCCAGGCAGAAAAAUAUUACCACCAUGGGAAUACUUGGAACGUCUCAGUUUGAGAGUAAUUAGGGACUAAACUACACUGGCAUGCUUCAGUGAUGAAAUGAGAAAAUAAGCAAUACCUCUGUCAAGUUCUGAUUGGGGAAUAUUAAAUGAAUAUGAACUUCGAUCAUCUCUGACCACAAACUAAGAACGAGCAGCAAUUUGCAAGAAUUUCUGCCCCCAUACAAACUAUAGUGUCACACAAAAUGUGGAAUCCACCCCCCGCUGCAAUUUUUAAAAAAACCUUUUGUUUAUCAUUAUAGCUGGGGUUGUAUAUGCAGUAUACCCCAAAUUGAGUAAAGGGGGCAAGGAUGGUAUUUCAUUCCUUUUAACUAUAAAUAAUAAAAAGCAUAAAAUGUAAUCAACCUGGAUGGAUUGC